GAGCAAGAGGGCUAUCUGUUGCAACAUCUGUCACCGCGUUGAUUGUCAGGGUUGAUUCAAAUGAUCUGGCUGGCUAGGUGGGUGUCCCCUUCCUUUCUCACUGACCCCCGUGCCUCUCUCCUAAGCUGCUGGCUCAGUGGGUGAGGACGACUUUCCCGGAAGAGAGGAGGACCAGUCUCCUGGCAAGGGCACACAGAUAUUCCCCUGACAGAACCUCCAAACAAGCCCUCACGCUCUCUCGCUGUCUACAGAGGACAUCUGUUCCUUACAUAUCAGUACAAACUGGACCUUCAGAUAUGUCC
This 302-nucleotide small nuclear RNA is filed under the name Meriones unguiculatus (Mongolian gerbil). Its description in RNAcentral is "7SK RNA (ENSMUGG00000025598.1)". It matches the Rfam family "7SK RNA". From Rfam's summary of the family: 7SK was discovered as an abundant small nuclear RNA in the mid-70s but a possible function has only recently been suggested. Two independent studies have found that 7SK RNA binds the CDK9/cyclin T complex (known as elongation factor P-TEFb). P-TEFb activates transcription by phosphorylating the C-terminal domain of RNA polymerase II. Lineage: Eukaryota; Metazoa; Chordata; Mammalia; Rodentia; Muridae. The record is from RNAcentral.